AGUGAACGCUGGCGGUAGGCCUAACACAUGCAAGUCGAACGGCAGCACAGUAAGAGCUUGCUCUUACGGGUGGCGAGUGGCGGACGGGUGAGGAAUACAUCGGAAUCUACUUUUUCGUGGGGGAUAACGUAGGGAAACUUACGCUAAUACCGCAUACGACAUACGGGUGAAAGCAGGGGAUCUUCGGACCUUGCGCGAUUGAAUGAGCCGAUGUCGGAUUAGCUAGUUGGCGGGGUAAAGGCCCACCAAGGCGACGAUCCGUAGCUGGCCUGAGAGGAUGACCAGCCACACUGGAACUGAGACACGGUCCAGACUCCUACGGGAGGCAGCAGUGGGGAAUAUUGGACAAUGGGCGCAAGCCUGAUCCAGCCAUACCGCGUGGGUGAAGAAGGCUUUCGGGUGUUAAAGCGUUUUUGUUGGGAAAGAAAAGUAGCAGGUUAAUACCCCGCUGUUCUGACGGUACCCAAAGAAUAAGCACCGGCUAACUUCGUG
Molecule: ribosomal RNA, 492 nt
Filed under: uncultured bacterium
Lineage: Bacteria
Description: partial 16S ribosomal RNA
Rfam family: Bacterial small subunit ribosomal RNA
Source: RNAcentral